GCCGAAGUGGUGGAACUGGUAGACGCGCUGCGUUCAGGGCGCAGUGCCCGAAUGGGCGUGGGGGUUCGAGUCCCCCCUUCGGCA
RNAcentral lists this transfer RNA (84 nucleotides) under Candidatus Latescibacterota bacterium. RNAcentral describes it as "tRNA-Leu". It matches the Rfam family "tRNA". From Rfam's summary of the family: Transfer RNA (tRNA) molecules are approximately 80 nucleotides in length. Their secondary structure includes four short double-helical elements and three loops (D, anti-codon, and T loops). Lineage: Bacteria; Pseudomonadati; Candidatus Latescibacterota. The record is from RNAcentral.